GACGAACGCUGGCGGCGUGCUUAACACAUGCAAGUCGAACGGGAAGGCCCUGCAUAUGUGCGCUGCUCGAGUGGCGACCGGGUGAGCUACACGUGAGUUACCUGCCCUUGCCUUUGGGAUAACUUCAGGAAACUGGGGCUAAUACCGGAUAGGAGCUCCUGCUGCAGGGUGGGGGUUGGUUGGAUUCGGCGGUUGGUGACGGACUCGCGGCCUAUCGGCUUGGUGGUGGGGUAGUGGCUUAGGAAGGCCUUGACCCGUGGCCGGCCUGCGAGGGUGACCGGCCACGUUGCGACUGGGAUACGGCCCGGACUCCUACGGGAGGCAGCGGUGGGGAGGAUGGCACAGUGGGCGGUGGCCUGGUGCCGCCGCGCCGCGUGCGGGAUGAGGGGCUUCGGGUUGUAUGGCUCUGUCGUUUGUUACGGAGUGUGAGUGACGGUACUGGGUAAAUAAGCCCCGGCUAACUACGUG
RNAcentral lists this ribosomal RNA (468 nucleotides) under uncultured bacterium. RNAcentral's name for it is "partial 16S ribosomal RNA". It matches the Rfam family "Bacterial small subunit ribosomal RNA", at positions 28 to 507 of the family's 1533-position model. The record is from RNAcentral.